GGUUUCCGUAGGUGAACCUGCGGAAGGAUCAUUACCGAGUGAGGGCCCUCUGGGUCCAACCUCCCACCCGUGUUUAUUUUACCUUGUUGCUUCGGCGGGCCCGCCUUAACUGGCCGCCGGGGGGCUUACGCCCCCGGGCCCGCGCCCGCCGAAGACACCCUCGAACUCUGUCUGAAGAUUGUAGUCUGAGUGAAAAUAUAAAUUAUUUAAAACUUUCAACAACGGAUCUCUUGGUUCCGGCAUCGAUGAAGAACGCAGCGAAAUGCGAUACGUAAUGUGAAUUGCAAAUUCAGUGAAUCAUCGAGUCUUUGAACGCACAUUGCGCCCCCUGGUAUUCCGGGGGGCAUGCCUGUCCGAGCGUCAUUUCUGCCCUCAAGCACGGCUGGUGUGUUGGGCCCCGUCCUCCGAUCCCGGGGGACGGGCCCGAAAGGCAGCGGCGGCACCGCGUCCGGUCCUCGAGCGUAUGGGGCUUUGUCACCCGCUCUGUAGGCCCGGCCGGCGCUUGCCGAUCAACCCAAAUUUUUAUCCAGGUUGACCUCGGAUCAGGUAGGGAUACCCGCUGAACUUAAGCAU
This 573-nucleotide ribosomal RNA is filed under the name fungal sp. 54878. RNAcentral's name for it is "eukaryotic LSU rRNA". The stretch from base 211 to 363 matches the Rfam family "5.8S ribosomal RNA". Lineage: Eukaryota; Fungi. The record is from RNAcentral.